ACCUGAAAGAUAUCUGUCCCAUAUCAGAUCGCCUUGAAGCCCAACUCUAGCUCUUCCACCAAUCACCAUACAAACCAACCCAAUACUACCCAUUAAAUCAAAGCAUUUUCUCAUUCAACCUAGUAUCGGCGAUAGAAAGGUAGAUUCAAAGACGCGAUAGAGACCACGUACCGUAAGGGAAAGAUGAAAUAACAGUGACAAACCAAGCACAAAAUAGCAAAGAUCAACCCUUGUACCUUUUGCAUCAUGAUUUAGCAAGAAUUUCUCAAGCAAAAUGCUAAUUUAAGCUUGCCACCCCGAAACCCAAGCGAGCUACUCACGAGCAGUUAUUUAUUGAGCAAACCCGUCUCUGUUGCAAAAGAGUGGGAUGACUCGUUAGUAGAGGUGAAAAGCCAACCGAGCUGGGUGAUAGCUGGUUGCCUAUGAAAUGAAUCUUAGUUCCCUCUUAAUUCACCUCCCAGGACUUCACUCAACCUCCAUGAAGCGAAUUAAGGGCUAUUUAAAGGAGGUACAGCUCCUUUAAAAAAGAAUACACUCUCCCCCAGCGGAUAAAUUAAAUUUAUACCUUACCUGUGGGCCUUCGAGCAGCCACCAUCAAAGAGUGCGUCAAAGCUCUUUACUUAAAAAUCCUAAACCCUCUUAUGACUCCCUCCCCUACUAAUAGGCCAACUUAUAAUUAAUAAGAGAACUUAUGCUAAAAUAAGUAACUAGGGAUCCCCUCUACGGCGCAAGUUUACAUCACAAUAUUAUUAACAAACCAUAAGAUACUUUCUAAACCUAACAAGGCACUGUAUCAAAAACUUUGUUAACCCACCUACGGAGCGCCUCUCAGAGAACGAUUAAAAUCUGUAAAAGGAACUCGGCAAAUUCAAGGCCCGACUGUUUACCAAAAACAUAGCCUUUAGCAAACCAAGUAUUGAAGGUGAAGCCUGCCCAGUGACAAUACGUUCAACGGCCGCGGUAUCCUAACCGUGCAAAGGUAGCGCAAUCAAUUGUCCCAUAAAUCGGGACCUGUAUGAAUGGUCCAACGAGGUCUUAGCUGUCUCCUACAGAUAAUCAGUGAAAUUGAUCUUCUUGUGCAAAAGCAGGAAUAAUCUCAUAAGACAAGAAGACCCUGUGGAACUUUAAAAUCUGCAGCCACUCCCAUAAACAACCCCUCUCCACAGGACCCACUCCUCCAGGAUAACAUUGGCAUGCAUUUUUUGGUUGGGGCGACCUUGGAGAUUAACAUAACCUCCAAAAACCAGACAACCCAUCUUAACCAAGAACAACUCAUCAACGUACUAAUAGUAACCAGACCCAAUAUAAUUGACCAAUGAACAUAGCUACCCCAGGGAUAACAGCGCAAUCUCCUUCAAGAGCCCCCAUCGACAAGGAGGUUUACGACCUCGAUGUUGGAUCAGGACAUCCUGGUGGUGCAACCGCUACCAAGGGUUCGUUUGUUCAACGAUUAACAGUCCUACGUGAUCUGAGUUCAGACCGGAGUAAUCCAGGUCGGUUUCUAUCUAUGCUAUAACUCCUUCUAGUACGAAAGGACCGAAGAAGUAAGGCCUAUACCUCAAGCACGCCUUCGCCUCCAGUAAUGAACCUAACUAAAUUACCAAAGGCUCUACCACAUUUUCCCCCUUCUCCUAGAAAAGGACCGCUAGCGUGGCAGAGCUCGGUAAAUGCAAAAGGCUUAAGCCCUUUACCCAGAGGUUCAAAUCCUCUCCCUAGCUCCACAUAAAACAUAUGACAACUCACCCUACUCUGACCCACCUCAUUAUAUCGUUAUCCUAUGCCCUACCCAUUCUCAUCGCCGUAGCAUUCCUCACUCUAGUUGAACGUAAAGUCCUAAGCUACAUACAAGCCCGAAAAGGGCCCAACAUUGUAGGACCAUUUGGUCUUUUACAACCCAUAGCAGAUGGCGUAAAACUAUUCAUCAAAGAACCAAUCCGCCCAUCAACUUCAUCUCCCUAUUUAUUUAUAGCCACUCCCAUCUUAGCCCUUCUCCUAGCAAUCACAAUCUGAACACCUCUCCCUCUACCCUUCCCCCUCACUGACCUAAACCUUGGCAUACUCUUUCUUCUAGCCCUCUCCAGUCUAGCAGUCUACUCUAUUCUAUGAUCAGGAUGAGCAUCCAAUUCAAAGUAUGCCUUAAUUGGUGCCCUGCGGGCAGUUGCACAAACUAUCUCAUACGAAGUCACCCUGGCCAUUAUCCUUCUAUCCGUAAUCAUUCUAUGCGGAAAUUACACUCUAAGUACCCUUACUACAACCCAAGAGCCUCUCUACCUCAUUUUUUCCUCUUGACCUCUAGCAAUAAUGUGAUACAUCUCCUCGCUUGCUGAAACAAACCGUGCCCCCUUUGACUUAACAGAGGGAGAAUCUGAACUCGUCUCAGGAUUUAAUGUAGAAUAUGCUGCAGGGCCAUUUGCCCUGUUCUUCCUAGCUGAAUACGCCAACAUUAUACUGAUAAACACUCUCACAACCAUCUUAUUUCUAAACCCCAGCUCACUUAACCUCCCCCAAGAACUCUUCCCCAUGACUCUAGCAACCAAAACCCUUCUCCUCUCCGCAGGCUUCCUAUGAAUUCGCGCCUCCUACCCUCGAUUCCGCUACGAUCAACUCAUACACUUGCUUUGAAAAAACUUCCUACCCCUAACGCUAGCCUUAUGCCUAUGACAUACUAGCUUCCCUAUCUCCUAUGCAGGCUUACCCCCCUACCUAAGACCCUCCUCGGAAAUGUGCCUGAAUCUAAAAGGGCCACUAUGAUAAAGUGAACAUAGAGGUAUACCAGCCCUCUCAUUUCCUAGUCUUAGAAAAGUGGGAAUUGAACCCACACUAAAGGAAUCAAAAUCCUCUAUACUCCCUUUAUAUUAUCUUCUAGUAAGGUCAGCUAAUUAAGCUAUCGGGCCCAUACCCCGAAAAUGAUGGUUCAACCCCUUCCUUUACUAAUGAAUCCUCAAGCUAAAUUAAUCUCUACAAUAAGCCUACUCCUAGGAACCUCUAUUACAACCUCAAGUAGUCACUGAGCAAUAGCAUGAGUCGGCCUAGAAAUCAACACUUUAGCCAUUCUUCCCUUAAUUUCAAAAAGCCAUCAUCCACGAGCCAUUGAAGCUUCCACCAAAUAUUUCCUUACUCAAGCAACUGCAUCCACACUGCUCCUAUUCUCUAGCAUAACCAACGCAUGAUUCUCAGGCCAAUGAGACAUUACCCAAUUAACCCACCCUAUAUCAUGCAUGCUAUUAACAAUUGCAAUUUCAAUCAAACUAGGCUUAGUCCCAUUCCAUUUCUGAUUUCCAGAGGUCCUUCAAGGUUCAACCCUAAUAACAUGCCUCUUACUAGCCACAGUGAUAAAAUUUCCUCCCAUUACCCUUCUCUACCUAACAUCCCCUUCACUCAACCCCAUCCUCCUAUCCUCAAUAGCUAUCGCUUCCACAGCCCUAGGUGGUUGAAUAGGACUAAAUCAAACGCAAACUCGCAAAAUCCUAGCCUUCUCAUCCAUUGCACACCUAGGAUGAAUAGCCAUUAUCCUUAUCUACGACCCUAACCUCACUUUAAUUACCUUUUAUUUAUAUACUAUAACAACCUCCGCUAUCUUUUUCAUUCUCAACAUAACCAAUUCCUUAAAACUAUCCACUAUAAUGACAGCAUGAACCAAAAUUCCCUCAUUAACCACAAUUCUUAUACUCGCCCUUCUCUCCCUCGCAGGUCUCCCGCCCCUAACAGGAUUCCUGCCUAAAUGACUUAUUAUUCAAGAACUAACUAAACAAGAACUGACUAUGGUCGCUACAACUAUUACCCUUCUCUCCUUACUCGGGCUUUUCUUCUAUCUUCGUCUUGCCUAUUGCGCAACUAUCACACUACCCCCAAACUCCACUAACUACAUAAAACAGUGACAAACUAACAAGUCAACUAACAUCCUAGCUACAACCUUUACCACCUUAUCAAUCAUGCUCCUGCCACUAUCUCCCACAGUACUUACAAUCCCUUAGAAACUUAGGUUAUUUAAACCAAAGGCCUUCAAAGCCUUAAAUAAGAGCUUAUCCCUCUUAGUUUCUGCUAAGGUCCGCAGGAUACUAACCUACAUCCCCUGAUUGCAACUCAGAUGCUUUAACUAAGCUAGAACCUUCCCCUAGGCAGAUGGGCUUCGAUCCCAUAAAACUUUAGUUAACAGCUAAAUGCCCUAGCCAACAGGCUUCUGCCUACCAGAUCCUGGUGCACAUUCAAUGCACAUCAAUGAGCUUGCAACUCAACAUGAAUUUCACUACAGAAUCGAUAAGAAGAGGAAUCAAACCUCUGUAAAAAGGACUACAGCCUAACGCUUUAACAUUCAGCCAUCUUACCUAUGACUUUCAUCAACCGCUGACUAUUCUCCACCAACCACAAAGACAUUGGCACACUCUACCUUAUUUUCGGUGCAUGAGCAGGCAUAAUUGGUACAGCCCUAAGCCUCCUCAUCCGAGCAGAGCUAGGACAACCAGGAACCCUUUUAGGCGAUGACCAAAUCUAUAAUGUAAUCGUCACCGCACAUGCCUUUGUCAUAAUUUUCUUUAUAGUAAUACCCAUCAUAAUUGGGGGGUUCGGCAACUGACUAGUCCCCCUAAUAAUUGGCGCCCCCGACAUAGCAUUCCCCCGAAUAAACAACAUGAGCUUCUGACUCCUUCCCCCAUCUUUUCUACUACUCUUAGCAUCCUCCACAGUAGAAGCCGGAGUCGGAACAGGAUGAACUGUAUACCCACCCCUAGCCGGCAAUCUUGCUCACGCCGGGGCAUCAGUAGACCUCGCCAUCUUCUCCCUACACCUGGCAGGUGUUUCUUCCAUCCUUGGAGCCAUCAACUUUAUCACUACAGCAAUCAACAUAAAACCACCCGCCCUCUCACAAUACCAAACCCCCUUAUUUGUCUGAUCUGUUUUAAUCACCGCCGUCUUACUUCUCCUCUCCCUACCAGUCCUUGCCGCUGGCAUUACAAUGCUCCUAACAGACCGAAAUCUAAACACUACAUUCUUCGAUCCUGCAGGAGGUGGAGACCCAAUCUUAUACCAACACUUAUUCUGAUUCUUCGGACAUCCAGAAGUCUACAUCCUCAUCCUACCAGGGUUCGGAAUUAUCUCCCACGUCGUAGCUUACUACGCUGGCAAAAAAGAACCCUUCGGCUACAUAGGCAUAGUCUGAGCCAUACUAUCUAUUGGCUUCUUAGGCUUCAUUGUAUGAGCCCAUCACAUAUUCACAGUUGGAAUAGACGUAGACACUCGAGCUUACUUUACAUCCGCUACCAUAAUCAUUGCAAUCCCCACUGGUAUCAAAGUCUUCAGUUGACUAGCCACCCUGCAUGGAGGUACUAUCAAAUGAGACCCACCCAUGCUAUGAGCCUUAGGCUUUAUCUUCCUUUUCACCAUUGGAGGACUAACAGGAAUCGUCCUAGCUAACUCCUCCCUAGACAUUGCUUUACAUGAUACCUAUUACGUAGUCGCACACUUCCACUAUGUAUUAUCUAUAGGAGCAGUAUUUGCUAUCCUAGCUGGCUUCACACACUGAUUUCCACUGUUCACUGGUUAUACCCUCCACCCCACAUGAGCCAAAGCCCAUUUCGGAAUCAUAUUCUUCGGAGUAAACCUCACAUUUUUUCCACAACAUUUCCUAGGUCUAGCUGGAAUACCACGACGAUAUUCAGAUUAUCCAGACGCUUACACCCUAUGAAACACUCUAUCUUCCAUCGGCUCCCUCAUUUCCAUAAUCGCUGUAAUUAUAUUAAUAUUCAUUAUCUGAGAAGCCUUCGCAUCCAAACGAAAAGUAACGCAGCCAGAACUAACCUCUACAAACAUCGAAUGAAUUCACGGCUGCCCUCCCCCUUACCACACCUUCGAAGAACCAGCUUUUGUUCAAGUACAAGAAAGGAAGGAGUCGAACCCUCAUAAGCUGGUUUCAAGCCAACCGCAUUAAACCACUCAUGCUUCUUUCUUAUGGGUUGUUAGUAAAGCCAUUACAUAGCCUUGUCAAGACUAAAUCACAGGUGAAAACCCAGUACACCCCAUCCCUUACCCCAUGGCCAACCAUUCUCAACUUGGUUUUCAAGACGCCUCAUCACCUAUUAUAGAAGAACUUAUCGAAUUCCACGACCAUGCAUUAAUAGUUGCCCUAGCCAUUUGCAGCCUAGUCCUAUAUCUCCUAGCUCUCAUACUUAUAGAAAAACUAUCCUCUAACACCGUAGACGCACAAGAAGUAGAACUUGUUUGAACAAUCCUGCCCGCUAUUGUCCUAGUCAUGUUAGCCCUCCCAUCCCUCCAAAUCCUCUAUAUAAUAGACGAAAUUGACGAACCCGACCUCACCCUUAAAGCUAUUGGACAUCAAUGAUAUUGAUCCUACGAAUACACAGACUUUAAAGACCUAUCUUUUGACUCCUACAUACUACCAACUUCAGACCUACCACUUGGCCACUUCCGCCUUCUAGAGGUCGAUAACCGUAUUGUAAUCCCAAUAGAAUCCCCAAUCCGAAUUAUUGUUACAGCUGACGAUGUCCUCCACUCCUGAGCCGUACCCAGCCUUGGUGUAAAAACCGAUGCAAUUCCUGGACGAUUGAACCAAACUUCCUUCAUCACAACCCGCCCUGGAGUCUUUUAUGGCCAAUGCUCAGAAAUCUGUGGAGCCAACCAUAGCUUCAUACCCAUCGUAGUAGAAUCAGCCCCUCUAGCACAUUUCGAAAACUGAUCUUCACUUCUAACUUCCUAAU
RNA transcript from Corapipo altera (White-ruffed manakin), 6710 nucleotides. It is a transcript of the gene named NADH-ubiquinone oxidoreductase chain 2-like, with no coding region annotated. NCBI's taxonomy places the organism in Eukaryota, Metazoa, Chordata, Aves, Passeriformes, Pipridae. The record is from RefSeq and is a predicted model, not a curated record. The transcript has a single exon.